Molecule: ribosomal RNA, 498 nt
Filed under: uncultured bacterium
Lineage: Bacteria
Description: partial 16S ribosomal RNA
Rfam family: Bacterial small subunit ribosomal RNA
Source: RNAcentral
AUUGAACGCUGGCGGCAUGCUUUACACAUGCAAGUCGAACGGUAACAGGCCGCAAGGUGCUGACGAGUGGCGAACGGGUGAGUAAUGCAUCGGAACGUGCCCAGUCGAGGGGGAUAACGCAGCGAAAGCUGUGCUAAUACAGCAUACGAUCUAUGGAUGAAAGCGGGGGACCGUAAGGCCUCGAGCGAUUGGAGCGGCCGAUGUCAGAUUAGGUAGUUGGUGGGGUAAAGGAUCACAAAGCCAACGAGCUGUAGCUGGUCUGAGAGGACGACCGGCCAAGCUUGAACGGAGACACGUCCCAGACUCCUCCGGGAGGUAGCAGUGGGAAAUUUUGGACAAUGGGCGAAAGCCUGAUCCAGAAAUGCCGCGGGCAGGAAGAAGGCCUUCGGGUUGUAAACUGCUUUUGUACGGAACGAAACGGCGAGCUCUAAUACAGUUUGUUAAUGACGGUACCGUAAGAAUAAGCACCGGCUAACUACGUGCCAGCCGCCGCGGUAA